Molecule: transfer RNA, 72 nt
Filed under: Camelus bactrianus (Bactrian camel)
Lineage: Eukaryota; Metazoa; Chordata; Mammalia; Artiodactyla; Camelidae
Also listed under: 2 other names
Rfam family: tRNA
About the family: Transfer RNA (tRNA) molecules are approximately 80 nucleotides in length. Their secondary structure includes four short double-helical elements and three loops (D, anti-codon, and T loops).
Source: Rfam by way of RNAcentral
GCAGUAAUAGCUCAGUGGUAGAGUGUAUGCUUAGCAUGUGUGAGGUCCUGGGUUCAAUCCCCAGUACCUUCA